Molecule: non-coding RNA, 74 nt
Organism: Nematolebias whitei (Rio pearlfish)
Lineage: Eukaryota; Metazoa; Chordata; Actinopteri; Cyprinodontiformes; Rivulidae
Source: the annotation of a RefSeq genome assembly
GGCACGGUGGUUCAGUUGGUAGAACUUCUGCCUCUCAAGCAGAUCGCCCUGGUUCAAAUCCUGGCCGAGGGCCU